AGUUUACCAAAUAUUUCACUGUUUGGAAAUCCUAGAAAGGGGAAGCCUGUACUCAGAAUGACAGGGGGGACACACACCAUAAAUGAAUUACCUUUCUAGGUCCAGCACACAAUACAGAUGGCUUCGGCUCAGUGUGACUCAGUAAAAUUUAGAAAUUAGUUUUUGUUGGAUAGUUUGAAUAAAGCAUCCUCAGUUUUAAUACUGGAUUCAGAAGUUGAAAUGCCAUUUCUCAAUCUUACUGGUCUCAAAUUCACUGGUAUAAUUUUUCCCUAAACUAAUAAGUGGGGCAAGUAUAACCUCCUAAAUCGGUACCCACCGGCCACUCCUGAAGUGAUUUCCAGUUAUGUCCUCCAUACGUAAU
RNAcentral lists this long non-coding RNA (361 nucleotides) under Bos taurus (domestic cattle). Its description in RNAcentral is "long non-coding RNA NONBTAT018094". Lineage: Eukaryota; Metazoa; Chordata; Mammalia; Artiodactyla; Bovidae. The record is from RNAcentral.